UAGGGAAUCUUCGGCAAUGGGGGCAACCCUGACCGAGCAACGCCGCGUGAGUGAAGAAGGUUUUCGGAUCGUAAAGCUCUGUUGUAAGAGAAGAACGUGUGUGAGAGUGGAAAGUUCACACAGUGACGGUAACUUACCAGAAAGCCACGGCUAACUACGUGUCAG
RNAcentral lists this ribosomal RNA (165 nucleotides) under uncultured bacterium. Its description in RNAcentral is "partial 16S rRNA". It matches the Rfam family "Bacterial small subunit ribosomal RNA", at positions 355 to 511 of the family's 1533-position model. The record is from RNAcentral.